AUGGCGCACCGGCGCGCCCGGUUCUUGGUGGCGGCGCUCUUGGUGACCGCGCUGGUGCUCCGGCCGGCCGCGGCGCUGUCCCCGGACGGCAAGGCGCUGCUGUCUUUGCUCCCGACGGCGCCGUCGCCGGUGCUGCCGUCCUGGGACCCGUCGGCCGCGACGCCGUGCUCGUGGCAGGGGGUCACCUGCUCGCCGCAGAGCCGGGUGGUGUCGCUCUCUCUGCCCAACACCUUCCUCAACCUCUCCACCCUCCCGCCGCCGCUCGCCUCGCUCUCCUCGCUCCAGCUGCUCAACCUCUCCACCUGCAACAUCUCCGGGACCAUCCCGCCGUCCUACGCGUCCCUCGCGGCCCUCCGCGUGCUGGACCUCUCGUCGAACGCGCUCUACGGCGCCAUACCCGGCGAGCUCGGCGCGCUGUCGGGGCUCCAGUACCUGUUCCUCAACUCCAACCGCUUCACGGGUGCCAUCCCGCGCUCCCUCGCCAACCUCUCCGCGCUCGAGGUGCUCUGCAUCCAGGACAACCUCUUCAACGGCACCAUCCCGGCGUCCUUGGGCGCGCUCACCGCGCUCCAGCAGCUCCGCGUUGGGGGCAACCCGGGGCUGUCGGGCCUUAUUCCGUCCUCCCUCGGCGCGCUCUCCAACCUCACCGUCUUCGGCGGCGCGGCCACCGGGCUAUCUGGCCCCAUCCCGGAGGAGCUCGGCAACCUCGUCAACCUCCAAACGCUGGCAUUGUACGACACCGGCUUGUCCGGCCCCGUGCCGGCGGCGCUCGGCGGGUGCGUCGAGCUGCGCAACCUCUACCUCCACAUGAACAAGCUCUCCGGGCCGAUACCGCCCGAGCUCGGAAGGCUGCAGAAGAUCACCAGCCUGCUGCUCUGGGGCAAUGCCCUGUCCGGGAAGAUCCCGCCGGAGCUCUCCAACUGCUCGGCAUUGGUGGUGCUCGACCUGUCGGGCAACCGGCUCUCAGGCCAGGUGCCCGGGGCGCUCGGGCGUCUCGGCGCGCUCGAGCAGCUGCACCUAUCGGACAACCAGCUCACGGGGCGCAUACCGGCGGUGCUGAGCAACUGCAGCAGCCUCACCGCCCUGCAGCUCGACAAGAACGGCCUCUCCGGGGAGAUACCGGCGCAGCUCGGGGAGCUCAAGGCGCUGCAGGUGUUGUUCCUCUGGGGCAAUGCGCUGUCCGGCUCGAUACCGCCGUCGCUGGGCGACUGCACCGAGCUGUACGCGCUGGACCUGUCCAAGAACCGGCUCACCGGCGGCAUCCCCGACGAGGUCUUCGGACUCCAGAAGCUCAGCAAGCUGCUCCUGCUCGGCAACGCGCUGUCGGGGCCGCUCCCUCCAAGCGUGGCCGACUGCGUGUCACUGGUCCGGCUCCGGCUCGGCGAGAACCUGCUCGCCGGCGAGAUUCCCAGGGAGAUCGGCAAGCUGCAGAACCUGGUGUUCCUGGACCUGUACUCGAACAGGUUCACCGGGCACCUCCCCGCCGAGCUGGCCAACAUCACGGUGCUGGAGCUGCUCGACGUGCACAACAACAGCUUCACGGGGUCCAUCCCUCCGCAGUUCGGGGCGCUCAUGAACCUGGAGCAGCUUGACCUCAGCAUGAACAACCUCACGGGCGAGAUGCCGGCGAGCUUCGGCAACUUCAGCUACCUCAACAAGCUCAUCCUCAGCAGGAACAUGCUCUCUGGGCCACUGCCCAAGUCGAUUCAGAACCUGCAGAAGCUGACCAUGCUGGACCUGAGCAACAACAGCUUCUCCGGCCCGAUACCGCCGGAGAUCGGCGCGCUGUCAAGCCUCAGCAUCAGCCUGGACCUGAGCGGGAACAGGUUCGCCGGCGAGCUGCCGGAGGAGAUGUCCGGCCUGACGCAGCUGCAGUCGCUCGACCUGUCGAGCAAUGGCCUGUACGGCAGCAUCUCGGUGCUCGGGGCGCUCACCAGCCUGACGUCCCUCAACAUCUCAUACAACAACUUCUCCGGCGCCAUCCCGGUGACGCCGUUCUUCAAGACGCUGUCGUCAAACUCCUACACCGGCAAUCCCAGCCUGUGUGAGUCCUAUGACGGGCACAUUUGUGCGUCAGACAUGGUUCGUCGGACCACUCUGAAGACCGUCAGGACCGUGAUCCUUGUCUGCGCCGUUUUAGGCUCGAUCACUCUGCUGCUUGUCGUGGUCUGGAUACUGUUCAACAGAAGCAGGAGGCUCGAGGGUGAGAAGAAGGCGAGCCUGUCGGCCGCCGGCGGCAACGACUUCUCGUACCCGUGGACGUUCACGCCAUUCCAGAAGCUCAACUUCUGCGUGGACAACAUCUUGGAGUGCCUCAAGGAUGAGAAUGUGAUCGGCAAAGGCUGCUCAGGAGUCGUGUACAGAGCUGAGAUGCCCAACGGCGACAUCAUCGCGGUGAAGAAGCUCUGGAAGACGACCAAGGAGGAGCCGAUCGACGCUUUCGCUGCUGAGAUUCAGAUAUUGGGUCACAUCAGGCACCGGAACAUUGUCAAGCUGCUUGGUUACUGCUCGAACAAGUCUGUCAAGCUCUUGCUCUACAACUACGUCCCCAAUGGUAACCUGCAGGAGCUCCUCGGCGAGAACAGGAGCCUGGACUGGGACACACGGUACAAGAUCGCCGUCGGCGCGGCGCAGGGGCUGUCCUAUCUGCACCAUGACUGCGUCCCGGCGAUACUCCACCGGGAUGUCAAGUGCAACAACAUUCUGCUCGACUCCAAGUAUGAGGCCUACUUGGCUGACUUUGGGCUGGCCAAGCUAAUGAACUCCCCCAACUAUCAUCAUGCCAUGUCGCGCAUCGCCGGUUCUUACGGAUACAUUGCUCCAGAGUACGGCUACACCGCGAACAUCACCGAGAAGAGCGACGUGUACAGCUACGGCGUGGUGCUCCUGGAGAUCCUGAGCGGGCGCAGCGCCAUCGAGCCGAUGGUCAGCGACAGCCUCCACAUCGUGGAGUGGGCCAAGAAGAAGAUGGGGAGCUACGAGCCGGCGGUGAACAUCCUGGACCCCAAGCUGCGUGGCAUGCCGGACCAGCUGGUCCAGGAGAUGCUGCAGACGCUGGGCAUCGCCAUCUUCUGCGUGAACCCUGCGCCGGCGGAGCGGCCGACCAUGAAGGAGGUGGUGGCCUUCCUCAAGGAGGUGAAGAGCCCGCCGGAGGAGUGGGCCAAGACGUCGCAGCAGCCGCUCAUCAAGCCGGGCAGCCAGGAAGCCUGA
Molecule: ribosomal RNA, 3210 nt
Filed under: Triticum aestivum (bread wheat)
Lineage: Eukaryota; Viridiplantae; Streptophyta; Magnoliopsida; Poales; Poaceae
Description: partial small subunit ribosomal RNA
Source: RNAcentral